Molecule: non-coding RNA, 1239 nt
Organism: Schizosaccharomyces pombe (fission yeast)
Lineage: Eukaryota; Fungi; Ascomycota; Schizosaccharomycetes; Schizosaccharomycetales; Schizosaccharomycetaceae
Source: the annotation of a GenBank genome assembly
GAACCAAUGCAUUGUAGUUUUAGAAAUUGUUUGACUGCAUUUUCUCAUAUGAAUGUGUAAAUAAGGAAAUGAUCGUUUUGCGAUCCUCAUAUACAUUCAACUCUUCAUUUAAUUCUAUUCAACGAGAUCAAAAAAAAUUCUUGUAUGCCUUCAUCACAUAGAUUGAAGAUUUUGACGCAAAGUUUCUACCGAAGCUGGAUCAAAAUCAUCCUUUGCAACACUUGUACUAAGUGCAACAUUACUUUCAAGCUCUUCCCCUAUGUCUUGAUGUUGCUUGCGGAUUAAUUCCAAGGAAUCGUGGCCUAGGACAAGCUUUUGAGGCGGCCUGUCGAGUUUGGCAAUGCUAUAUAACAACUCCGCAGCUUUGUUCGGGUCAGUUUCCUCGCAGCCAUGAUAGUUUUCCCAAAAUGGUCGCCAAGACCUGUCAUUUUCGUAGGCUGGAUGAGGUUUUGCCCAUUGCAUAUUAGAGGAAGCCCAUUCUGUUUGCAUGCCACCUGGCUGUACAAUAGUUAUCGCAAUGUUCCAAUUCGGAUCUAACUCUCUCAUAAUUGUUUGCGAAAGCCCUUCGACAGCAAAUUUGCUAGCAUUAUACAUGCUUAAACACGGAGAUGGGUAAUAACCUGCGACUGACGAAAUUUGUAAAAUACGCCCUCCUUUACCGGAUUCGCGCAUGAGAUUCAACGCUUCUUUGGUAAUGUAUGCAACUCCCCAAAAAUUUACAUUCAUUUGACGAUGCAUUUCCUCAAUGUUGUAUGAUUCAAAUUCGCCAACAAGGCCAUACCCUGCAUUGUUGAUCACUAUGUCUACGUUUCCAAAUCGCCUCUUUGCAUCUUUGAAAGCGGUUUCAACAGACUUCACAUCUGUAACAUCUAAUUUGAGCUUUAAUAAUUUUGAAUGCUCGAUGGUUAUUGUGUCGGGAGCACGAGAACAAGCUAUUACAUUAUAACCUUGGGCCAAUCCAACUUUCACCAAUGCAUAGCCCAAUCCUUUGGAUGACCCAGUAAUGAGUACAGUAGAAAACGUAGAUUUCAUUGUUUCUUAUGAUCGUGUUUCGUCUUUUGAGACACCACGAUUGUACAAUUAAACAAUUUUUUUGCUUUCUCAACCAAGCCCGUUUUUACCCGAUUACUGUUGUAGUAAGCCUUUUCAAAUGGUAUUCGAGUAGUUCACAAUCGUCGCGUAACAGACAAACCCUGAUUCUUUUGAGCUUCUUAACAAUGAAUUGCUUAACUUAACUCU